GACGAACGCUGGCGGCGUGCUUAACACAUGCAAGUCGAACGGAAAGGCCCUGCUUUUGUGGGGUGCUCGAGUGGCGAACGGGUGAGUAACACGUGAGUAACCUGCCCUUGACUUUCGGAUAACUUCACGAAACUGGGGCUAAUACCGGAUAGGAGCUCCUGCUGCAUGGUGGGGGUAGGAAAGUUUCGGCUGUUGGGGAUGGACUCGCGGCUUAUCAGCUUGUUUGUGGGGUAGUGGUUUACCAAGGCUUUGACGGGUAGCCGGCCUGGGAGGGUGACCGGCCACAAUGGGACUGCGAUACGGCCCAGACUCCUACGGGAGGCAGCAGUGGGGAAUAUUGCACAAUGGGCGGAAGUCUGAGGCAGAAACGCCGCGUGCGGGAUAACGGCCUUUUGGUUGUAAACCGCUUUCGCCUGUGACGAAGCGUGAGUGACGGUAAUGGGUAAAGAAGCACCGGCUAACUACGUG
This 468-nucleotide ribosomal RNA is filed under the name uncultured bacterium. RNAcentral's name for it is "partial 16S ribosomal RNA". It matches the Rfam family "Bacterial small subunit ribosomal RNA", at positions 28 to 507 of the family's 1533-position model. The record is from RNAcentral.